GUAUUGGUGGUUCAGUGGUAGAAUUCUCACCUUCCAUGCAGGAGAUCUGGGGUCAAUUCCUGGCCAACAUA
RNAcentral lists this transfer RNA (71 nucleotides) under Loxodonta africana (African savanna elephant). It matches the Rfam family "tRNA". From Rfam's summary of the family: Transfer RNA (tRNA) molecules are approximately 80 nucleotides in length. Their secondary structure includes four short double-helical elements and three loops (D, anti-codon, and T loops). Lineage: Eukaryota; Metazoa; Chordata; Mammalia; Proboscidea; Elephantidae. The record is from Rfam by way of RNAcentral.